UCGCCGGGAUUUGUGGACCAGCGAACGCGUCCCUCGCGGCGACGGAUUACGUGACGGCGGCAUGCUAUCCCCCGGAUCUCAGCUCACCCUGACCGCCUCUCACCCUCAGCCCCACGUCGUUGAUCCCGCGAUGACGCCCACCUCGGCGCCGGUGCCGACUCCGACCUCGGCGUCGGGCCCCAACAACCCGGUCGCCAUGAGCCAACUGGGAACCGUCUAUGCCACCAAAAGACGACGCCGAAACGGGAAAAGUUUAAAACCACCCCAAAAGGAUGGGGUAACGAAGUCGAACCCCAGCAAGAGACAUCGGGAACGAUUGAACGCCGAAUUGGACACUCUGGCGUCGUUGCUUCCGUUCGAACAAAACAUUUUGAGCAAGCUGGAUCGACUCAGCAUCUUGAGACUCAGCGUUAGCUAUCUCCGAACGAAGAGUUACUUCCAAGUGGUGAUGCACAAAGACAAAGAAGAAAAUUCGCACCACGAUUCGCACUACAGAGCGAGGGAGUUGGCCGCUUUUGCGUACGAUCAUCAUCAUCUCGACGGCGAAAUGUUCCUACAGGCGCUGAACGGGUUCCUGCUCAUACUGACUUGCGACGGGGAAGUGUUCUUCGCCACCCACAGCAUAGAAAGUUACCUUGGCUUCCAUCAGUCCGACAUUGUCCAUCAAAGCGUCUACGAGUUGGUGCACAGUGAAGAUCGAGAAGAAUUGCAAAGGCAGUUGAUGUGGAAUUCUUUUCUACCCGCAGAAAGUGCGAGUCUACCUCUUCACGACGCUCUCUCACCCCAACAUAGUCAUCUCCUAGAACGCAGUUUUACUGUUCGCUUCCGGUGCCUUUUGGACAACACAUCCGGUUUCUUGCGUUUGGAUAUUAGGGGACGCGUGAAGAUACUCCAUGGUCAAAAUCGAAAAACCGAAGAGCCACCUUUGGCAUUGUUCGCUCUGUGCACGCCGUUUGGACCACCGUCGCUCCUGGAAGUUCCACAGAAGGAUGUGAUGUUCAAAAGCAAACACAAACUGGAUUUGGCCCUUGUGUCGAUGGACCAACGAGGAAAGAUGCUGUUAGGAUACUCGGACGCGGAACUGGCAAAUCUUGGUGGCUAUGAUCUAGUCCAUUACGACGAUUUAGCCUACGUGGCGAGUGCUCAUCAAGAACUGUUAAAAACGGGAGCCUCGGGUAUGAUAGCGUACAGAUUUCAAAAGAAAGACGGUGGAUGGCAGUGGUUGCAGACUAGUUCAAGAUUAGUCUACAAGAACUCGAAGCCCGACUUUGUCAUAAGCACGCAUAGGCCUCUUAUGGAAGAGGAAGGUAGGGAUCUUCUUGGAAAACGGACGAUGGAUUUCAAAGUUAGCUACUUGGAUGCUGGAUUGACCAACAGUUAUUUCUCGGACAACGAUAGUCUGACGGGUUCCGUAAUGACGCCGACGCUUCCAUCCCAACCGACGUCCCAAAGAGUGAACAGGCGGUACAAGACUCAACUGAGAGACUUUCUGUCGACCUGUCGAAACAAACGAACCAAAUUGUCGGCACAGUCAUCGGUUUCCCCGCCAGUCACACCCACGGUCGCGUCCGUGGACUACCUCGCAGCUGAUACCAGUGCUGCAGCUGCAGUCGCAGCCGCGUACAGCAAUCUAAACACAAUGUAUCCGACCGCAUACGCACCCACAGCAGUCACAGCUAGCACCGACCCUUCGUUGACCACCUACAUUGGUCACACAGGCAACUACCAUCAGACCUUGUAUCCCGCGACUGCGUUAGAUAAUAGGUAUCUCACCGCAGCGACGGAAAACUUGUUCCAAUACAGGCCUUUAGGUUCUUACUAUCCAGAGUACCACACGAGCACCGCGUACAACGGCUUCAUCGACGUAAGUCUACCCACCUACGAGACGCACCAGUUGACUAGCAAAGCGGAAGAGAAGUUGUACUGCCAGCAAUUAGGUGAAUCUCCAAAGUACGGCUACGUCGAGACCAGACACCCCAGUAGCGUCAGUGGUUCUCCCUAUGCUGCCAGUCCGAUCGCGAGUGCAUCGACGAUGCACACCGCGACAGCCGACAUCAACAUCGUUCGUGCAGGCAGUAGACAUUCCCUUGAAGGCGGUGCUUCGUCCAGCAACUCCGCCGGAAGUUCGCCUGUAACUGGACCAACGAACGGCGUGCUCACCCCAAAGAUAGAGGACGUGAAGCCCGAGGUGUAUGCCAACGAGGCACCUCGACAAACGGUCUUGAUGUGGGGUGCACCACCUUCUCGUACUCCUCCAAGGAACAACGGCAGCUACAGUCCACCCACGCCACACUCCACGCAUUCGUCAACCCAUUCGACCAAUGCCGCUGCCGGAGAUCCCUUGAAAUCCCUGGCGGAAAUGAACUCGAUGAACGGGGAGUGCAAAUGGAGACAGACUUCACCCAGUGAACAACAAACAGCCGCACCCAGUUCACCCAGAACCAAGCCACAGCCACAACCACAGCACCAGCAUCAUCAACAACAGCAACAGCAACAGCAACAGCAACAGCAACAACCCCAGCAACAGCAUCAGCAGUACCCGGUGACAACGUCACAGUAUCAAGCAGCAGCGGCGGCCGCGGCCGCGGCUGCGGCCGCAGCGGCCAGCACUAUAGGAUACACGCACUCUCAUCCGGGCCAUGGCCACGGGGAAGCGGGCUCCGAGGUAUGGCAAGGAGUGCAACACCACCACCACUACCAGUACUAUCCCUACCACCAUCACCACCCCGCACCACCAAGGCACGCGCCCCACACAUCCCCGUCAGCUGUGGGAACGGGGACGGGAGUCGGCAUGGGCAUCGACAACAACACCAGCAACAGCAACGUCUUGUACCACCCUCCGCACCACCACCCACAGCAUCAACACGUGGUGGGAUCAUCAGCGGGGGCAAUGGGCCCAACUGUCCAACAGAUUCCAAACCGGACGCCGGGAGUCCUUUGUUGUCCAUCUCUGAGGUGACUAACACCUUGCUCAACCAAUAGUCUCUUCGUCGUCUCAGCAUCGCUUCGUUUUGGUGAUCAAGGUAUCUCUCAGGAGAUAGUUUCACCGGGUCGGAUGACAAAACACGUGACUGUAUCAUAUAGAUAAUACCGGUUAACAUUUUUAAGAGUAUUCCUGUGUAACGUUGUAUCGUACUCAUUCCAGUUAACGCUCGACGUUGCUACGACCUAUGUAUGUACGCUUGAUUUACGUUAAUUCAUUCGUACUGUUAAGUUUGCAACGAGAGUCUGUUGCUCGUGAUCGUUGGAAUAUCGAGCAACGAAAGAAAAUUAAAGACUCUCGAUUCGGCUGAACCUCAGUCUUGCCAAUGUUUUGUUAAUAAGUUUGUAAUUUUUGUACUUAAUUAAUUUAUAUACGGCUAUUUAUCUACCGUGCGCGCGAUUCGACGUUUAGCAUAGCUAGACGAGCCUUCCAUAAUUUUAGACGUACUAUCAUUUCGCGAACUUUUUUUUUUUCUCAACAAUCGUCCGUUUUUCGGGAACGGAGAAGACUGCGCGAAGAAUAACGAUAACGAAGAUUGAAAACGGAAGUUCCAAUUAUCUUCCUGUCACGUCGAAGUAUUUUUGUUACAGGAAAGACCCGAGUGAUUUCAAUGCUUCGAAUCUCCAGGCAGAGAUAGAAAAGAAAGAUAGAUAAACGUGAAUUUAUUUUACGUAUUAUACAUAUCAAAAUGGAAGAGAAGAGAACGACAGAUGGUAAUCGUUCUUUUUUCUAUUGCAAUCUUGAUAUAAAUAUAUAUAUAUAUAUAUAAAAAGAGAUAUAUAUGUAUAGAUAAAGAUAUAUGUAUAUUGUAUUAUUUGCUGGUAGGAACGUUUCAAAUCGUACGGAUUUCUUCUCCCUUCGCGUCCUUUGAACCUUGAUCUACAAUUUAUCCUGUACUUUACCUAAUUCAUGUCGUUAUAGUGUUAUACAAUAUACGAAACUAUUUUGCUAUGAUUCUUUGUAAACAUCCACUCCGCUGAUCGGCUUUUUACGAUAGAACGAAGUUCAAGACGCGUCGAGAUUGGUCAUUAACGUGAUUUCUUCGUUAACAGAUAACUACAACAUUUUAUUUCCGACAAAGACAUCAUGAUACAUCUUGUCGAUAAUUGCUAGUACAAAAAUAAUGGUGAAGGAUAUACAUAUCAAUCCGCUCAGUUAAAUUUAUGAUCUAUUUUGUUAUUAAGUUUUAAAUUGAACUCGAAAAUAAAAAAGUGGGGACAGUGUUAAUAACGAGUCUCGAAGCCCAUAUUGUAAAUUCAUAUCUUCGAUCGUAACAGCUUGAAACUACGUUUCUUUGCAAUAUCGUAUGAAGAUCUACUAUUUUAAGUAAUUGAGUCUAGUCCAUACAUCAAGCGAAUAAACGAUAUCUAUUCUGCUGAAAUUGUAAAAAUAUUCUCACUAGCGAUCUUCUCACCCUUCGCCGACAAUCCAUAAAUAAGCUGUGUAUAAAUAAGCUCCAACAACCCUUAAGGCUAACAAGCUUUUAUUUCAGGUUUAUCUUUCAGAAACUAAUAUUUAAAAAAUGGAAGUUAAUUAGGGCCUCGACGACCGACCACCAUCCAACAAGGGUCAAUAUUUUUUACAAGACUAAAAGAAGAAAAACUACUGUUUUAACCCCUCAGUAUAGAAUUAAAGUUUUAUCGUUAGACAAAGUUAAAUAAGGCAGCACCUAAUUUAACUAUUUAAGGGUUGAUCGCAUCGGUGAGAAUAUUAGAGCAAUUUUAGCGCGUUCGUGUAUAUUUACUGUAUAUUUAAAAUAUAAGGUAUCUUCUAACGAGCAUAGGUAAGAUUAGUCGAUAUAGAUGAUUCCCUUUAGCUAUCUACUUAGAUCAAAAUACCGUACCUUAAUUUUAUAGCAACCAGUAUCUGCAGACAACAUGCAAUUCAAUCGUGACCCCCGUAUCUCGAUAUUGGAUCGUUGUUUGAACAUUUUAUCAUCGACUAUUUCCUAUUUUUUACAUCGAACACAACGAGCGUUUUAUUAUAAUUAAAGAAAUAAUAUCACCGAGUGCCUGUUUCGAUCGAGAGGACGUAUCGAACCAGCUAGACCAAUAUUUCCUGAUUUCUAACUAUAAAAUAUUGUCGUGCAUAUCGAGAAGAAUGAAAUAAAAUUUAAGAUACUUAUGAAUAUUUGAUCAGGUUCUUAUGGUAUUUAAUCGAAAUGAACUUUACAGAAUUCUUCAACACUUAUAAAUAUUUGUAAAUAAAUCUUCUGAUUACACAUUUCAUAUACAUCAUUUUGCUUGGAAAUACUUUAUUAAAUUCAUUGGUUCUCUGUUUCUUUUUACAAGUAUCCAUUUUCACAGAAAGUUGAAAAACCUGCAUUGAAAAUUCUUAACACAAUGUGAUUAGAAAGAACAAAGGAGAAACAUUAAAAAGAAUGUUAAUUACAGCGUUACAUAUCUAUUGUCUAGAUGAAUCAAGGUAUUCUUCGUUUACAAAUUCACAUAAAAAUACACUUUUUCCAUUCGAAAAGUUGUUGCUCAAACAAAGAGGCAAAAUUUAAGAGACAUUGCGCAGAUAUCUGUAUUCCAUUGAAUCAUCGUUGGAUCUUAUUCAAUAUAUUGCAUUCUGUUCUGCAGAUGUUCUUUUUUUAUACAUAUAUAUAAAAUAUAUACAUAUAUCAAAAAAUGUAUCGAAGUGAAACACGAUAUCAUGCCAAACAAAAACUUUGACUCUCUCCUCGAUCCACUCCAUCCACUUUAAUCUCCGAUAAUAUUCUAUAUAGAAUCUAAUUACUUAUUAACACUACUACUAAAAAAAAGCUAAGCUCUACGAAAUGAAAUUUUAAAACUGUAUCAAAUGUUUAUAUGAAAUAAAUUAUAAUAAUGCAAUAGAACGGACGUCCUCUAUUCUGUAUUUUGUACAUUCGACAAAAAGGAAGGAGAAAGGAUACCGUCUUAAGUAGAAAAUUAUUACACUAAAGAUAUCUAGGUGAAGAAUAUUUCAUUCCAUCAUUACUCUGAGUAUGUUACUUUUCAUUUUUUUUUAUUUAUUUCAUUUAAAAAUGACUCGUUACACUUAUCAUAGCAAUAUGUAUGUAAGGCCCGAACUUACAAUACAUUAAAAUCAUCGGUUUUGUAUUUUCUCUUUUUUAUCAAACGUAUGUCGAACGUGUAUCAAUACAUGAUAAACUGGAACAAUUAUGUAAAUCUUCGUACUUGUUUAUGUAUGUGUCUGUGUGAGCUUGUGUUUUAGGGUUUGUAACAGUUUCGUAUCUACUCGUUCGUACUUAAUGUGAACAAUCAACUGGAUUCAAGAAAGAGAUCGAUUAAAAAACAAGGAAAAACCAAACUGUCACGAUUCCUAAAUGCUUUCGAAUGCGGGCAAUUCUCAAAGAUCAAAGGUGUGACAAUUUAUUUGUACCUGAUCAGUUUCUCUUACACGAGCUUUUCGACGAUGUAACAACGGUUCGGUGUUUUUUUUUUCUUUAUGGAAA
RNA transcript from Osmia bicornis bicornis, 6422 nucleotides. It is a transcript of the gene named circadian locomoter output cycles protein kaput, with no coding region annotated. NCBI's taxonomy places the organism in Eukaryota, Metazoa, Arthropoda, Insecta, Hymenoptera, Megachilidae. The record is from RefSeq and is a predicted model, not a curated record. The transcript has 11 exons.